GUGUAAGUCCCAGCCGGGGCUCUGCCCAGACUCCAGCACCUCGGGCUCAUAGGCCCCAGCCAAAGGCCCAUCUGGAAAAGGGCUGCACAGAAGCUGCACAAGCAACAGCCAGAGGUCCAUCCAGGUACCACUGGAAAAUGAAGAAUAAAAUGUCCAGCUCCGUAGCCUGCUGACUUGCAGAAACGAGAAGGCUGCAACCAGAC
Molecule: long non-coding RNA, 203 nt
Filed under: Fukomys damarensis (Damara mole-rat)
Lineage: Eukaryota; Metazoa; Chordata; Mammalia; Rodentia; Bathyergidae
Description: lncRNA (ENSFDAG00000022879.1)
Source: RNAcentral